AUGAAGAUUGUUACCCAUACAGGUGCAUCUGGGGCAUUGUCAAUGUCACCUGGCACAUUAAGCAUUGGACAAUGCUACUCUUUUAAGAAGAGAGAAUUAAUAGACCUGUGAUUUCAUUGGACAGAGAACUCCCUACUGUUGAAACUCCUUCAAAUUCAGAUCAGACAACUGAGGUCCGCAGUGGUGAAGUGUCUUGCCCCAAGUCACAGAGUAGUACCUGGAGAAACAGAAGUAUUACCUAUGCCCUCUGAUUCCAAAUUUAUUGCUCUAUUUUUCAUAACAUGCAAUUAUGUUAGACUAGAAUUAACUAGUCGAUCAUGGUAAAGUAGUUGGGAUUUGAAUAUGUAAGUAAAUUUAUUUACUUUCUCCUUCCUGUGUCUCGUGGAUUGACUUCUCAUAGAAGACAGUUUCUGUUAAGGAAGAAAUUCAGCCCUCUAAUGUCAAGCUCACAUUGACUUUCCUAUGUCUCAGGAGAACAUUUCUAACUGUCAGAAUGUGAACAACUAAUAACCCCAAAGAUUCUUUUUUGACAGCCCCUGGAGCUUAAAAAAAUCAUGUCAGAGACACAUUUCUGGCAUG
RNAcentral lists this long non-coding RNA (579 nucleotides) under Monodelphis domestica (gray short-tailed opossum). RNAcentral describes it as "lncRNA (ENSMODG00000051412.1)". Lineage: Eukaryota; Metazoa; Chordata; Mammalia; Didelphimorphia; Didelphidae. The record is from RNAcentral.